AUCUCUUACGUAGCGUUAGAAUCUUGUAAAGAAAUUGCGAUAUAAGGACCGUUUUCUAUUGCGUCUACGCAACGGACUCGUAUUAGAAGAAGAGAACACCUCCUAGAAGAAAAAAAAGAAGAAGAAGAAGAAGAAGAAGAACGUUCGAAACGAUCUCGAGAAACAAAAUCACGAUUAUUUAUAUUUCCAUUUCUCGGUCAUUUUUUAGUUACGCUUAGGUGAUCAAAGUUCCGCCGGAAGUCGAAUUAAAUUACCUUGGUGGAAGUAAAUUUGAGCGGAAGUGCACGAAAUAGAUGCUCGAUGCAACAGAUCGAAGCGACUGUAUUGUUAUCCAGGAAAUAGAAUAUUCGUAUAAACAUAGAAGAGGGUAAAAGAGUGGGAGGUGGUAAACAAUGAAAAAAAAAAAAAAUUUUGUAAAAAUGAAUAACCCGGAUGUUCGCAAAAUAUUCAAAGAUUAUCGGACAUCAUCGGUGAAAAUAUUGAAAAAACAUCGUCUUAGAUAAAAUUUAUCACGAUGGACCAUAAUAUCGUCUUCGUUACCAAGAGUGGAAAGUGCAACAACCAACAGGGACACACCUAAAUAAGGGCGAGGCCUUCGAAAGGGUGUGUCUCCCACAUUUUUAUUUCUUUUCGACCCUCCGAUGGUCACGCCAGAAGAAUUCAACCCCUAAUGGAAUAAUCAUUUUAAAUGGAUCCACCGACGUAUUAAUAAAUAGAUCAACGAGAUGAUCAUACCACUUUGUUUUGUUUUGUUUAAAUACCUACAUCUCGUCUAGGUAUAAUCUAUC
This is a long non-coding RNA of Vespula vulgaris, 788 nucleotides long. RefSeq lists it as uncharacterized. The record is from RefSeq and is a predicted model, not a curated record. The transcript is spliced from 3 exons. NCBI's taxonomy places the organism in Eukaryota, Metazoa, Arthropoda, Insecta, Hymenoptera, Vespidae.